GGGGGUAUAGCUCAGUGGUAGAGUGCAUGCCUAGCAUGCGUAAGGUCCUGCGUUCAAUUCCCAGUACCUCUA
This 72-nucleotide transfer RNA is filed under the name Camelus bactrianus (Bactrian camel). It matches the Rfam family "tRNA". Rfam says of the family: Transfer RNA (tRNA) molecules are approximately 80 nucleotides in length. Their secondary structure includes four short double-helical elements and three loops (D, anti-codon, and T loops). Lineage: Eukaryota; Metazoa; Chordata; Mammalia; Artiodactyla; Camelidae. The record is from Rfam by way of RNAcentral. RNAcentral also lists the same sequence under 2 other names.